RNAcentral lists this ribosomal RNA (200 nucleotides) under uncultured bacterium. RNAcentral's name for it is "partial 16S ribosomal RNA". It matches the Rfam family "Bacterial small subunit ribosomal RNA", at positions 8 to 238 of the family's 1533-position model. The record is from RNAcentral.
AGAGUUUGAUCAUGGCUCAGAGCGAACGCUGGCGGCAGGCCUAACACAUGCAAGUCGAACGAUCCUUCGGGAUAGUGGCGGACGGGUGAGUAACACGUGGGAACGUACCUUUAGGUUCGGAACAACUCAGGGAAACUUGAGCUAAUACCGAAUGUGCCCUUUUGGGGAAAGAUUUAUCGCCUUUAGAGCGGCCCGCGUUA